CUGAGUGAUGCCGGUUUGGUCGCUGGGUGUGAUAUGACCCCAGAAGCUGCUCUUUCAAAACUCUCCUAUGUGCUGGCAAAACAAAACCUCAGUAUAGAAGAGAAGAAAAAGAUGCUGAGUCGCAAUCUGCGUGGUGAGAUGAUAGCUGACCUG
Long non-coding RNA from Sinocyclocheilus grahami, 153 nucleotides. RefSeq lists it as uncharacterized. The record is from RefSeq and is a predicted model, not a curated record. The transcript is spliced from 2 exons. Lineage: Eukaryota; Metazoa; Chordata; Actinopteri; Cypriniformes; Cyprinidae.